Long non-coding RNA from Megalobrama amblycephala (Wuchang bream), 241 nucleotides. RefSeq lists it as uncharacterized. NCBI's taxonomy places the organism in Eukaryota, Metazoa, Chordata, Actinopteri, Cypriniformes, Xenocyprididae. The record is from RefSeq and is a predicted model, not a curated record. The transcript is spliced from 3 exons.
CAAGCUACUGUGGUGAAAGAGUUUUUGAUGAAACAGAGGCCUUUGACACAGAUAGAACUGAGAUAUGUCCAAAACGAUUAAGGACACACCAAGAGAUUAAAAGCAUUGCUGAUGUCAUCAAAAGCCUUACUGAAAGGGUGGACGAAAGCAGCACCUUCAGCAUUUGUGUUACCAGGGAACAGAUGGUUGAAAGAGGCAUUAAACAGUGGCAGCGGCAGAAAAAGUCUUCCCCUAAAAAUGC